CAACGAUGGGCGACACCCAGGCAGGCGUGCCCUCAGCCUAAUGGCUUCGGGCGCAACUUGCGUUCAAAGACUCGAUGGUUCACGGGAUUCUGCAAUUCACACCAAGUAUCGCAUUUCGCUACGUUCUUCAUCGAUGCAAGAGCCGAGAUAUCCGUUGCCGAGAG
This 164-nucleotide ribosomal RNA is filed under the name Crotalaria virgulata subsp. grantiana. Its description in RNAcentral is "5.8S ribosomal RNA". The record is from RNAcentral. Lineage: Eukaryota; Viridiplantae; Streptophyta; Magnoliopsida; Fabales; Fabaceae.